UUGGGAGAGGUUUUGAAAGUGGAUAAUCUCAUUACACACAGCAUUAUUAUACUAAGUUGAUGUAGAAUGUCCAAAUCUAGUGAAGAAAAUUGAUCAUAGGUUAAUACAUUGUUCAGUGGCAUGUCUAAAUCUCAUUAGGUAGGAACUUACUUGUUUUCGUUCGCUCUUUCUUUCAUUCUUUUGGGUUCAUUAGGUUAUUCCCAUGAGGGCUGUUAGUGCUUCAAUGGGGAAGAGGAGUGUUUGAUCACAACAACAAAACUUUGAUAUGGAAAGCUGUCCUGCUGUGUAUUAUUGGACUAUUUGCGUAAAAGAAACAGCAGGACUUUCAAUGGGAGGAGCUGUCAUUGGUGAAGUGGAAAGCUUUCUUUUUACAAUCUCUUUUAUGAAUGAAAACAUUUUUGGGCAAUCUACCAUCUAUAUUUCCGGAAUUUAAUGAAUGUUAAAUUUCCUGUUGUAAUGUUUUAGAGGCAUCCUUGCAUACUUCAUAUACCCCUGCAAGUGUUUUCAUUUUUAAUAAUAUUACUCUUACUUAUCAAAAACAUAUGAAGACAAAUGUGAUUGACUAUGCUGCUUAAAAUGCAUGGUUUCAAAAAUGAAGGGUUAGAGAGAUUGCUUACAACUUAUGUACAAAUGGCUUUGCCAUUAUGUGUGCUUUCAUUUUUUUUUUUUUUUUAAUAUUGCUCUUACUAAUAGAAAACAUUUGAAGGAAAUUUUGAAUAACUAUGCUGCUUAAAAUGUAUGGUAUAAAAUAUGAAGGGUUAAUAAAGAGAUUGAUUCCAAAUUGUGAACAAAUGGCUUUGCAAAAUAAAAGAGAUCUGAUGAGGUAAAUUUACUACCUUGUUACAGAUAGAGAUGCUCAUGUAUGUGGAUUUGAGCACAUUUUAUUUAUGAUGCUAGUGAUGGUUCAAAUUAAUGAGCCUGUAUUUCUUGAAACCAAAUUCCUUUGUAUAUUCGCCUUUUGGCACCUAGAAUGUUUUGGACAUUGUUAGAUGAACUUUAAUUUCCUUUUAUGCAGGUUGCUGUAGCAAAAGAAUCACCUCAUGGAAUUCUCGUUAAAGGUAUUUUCUUUUCCUUGCUUCUCUCUCAAGAACUAAGGGCAAAGUAAGGACAGAGCGACCCUUCAGUCCUAAGGCAAGUUUAGGAUUCUUCAGAAACCAAGGAUAGUCAUGGUCAUUCACAGAGAUUAAAAAGCUUUGGGUUCAACAUUUUAGGGUGGACAUGUGGAAUGGCAUGCCUAAGAAUUUUCUUAACUUCUAUAUAAGUUAAUGGCAGCUCUCAAAAGGAAGUGAAGUCUUAUCUGGAUAAUGUGGUAGGUGAAGAAAGAGAGGAUACACAAAGCAAAGUUGUAUGGAACAUUAUCUGGUCCUGGUCUGAGACCUGCACUCUGUAAAUUCUGCAUUUACUGAACUAUUUCUAUUAUCCUUGAACUUUCUACA
Long non-coding RNA from Quercus lobata, 1436 nucleotides. RefSeq lists it as uncharacterized. The record is from RefSeq and is a predicted model, not a curated record. The transcript is spliced from 2 exons. Lineage: Eukaryota; Viridiplantae; Streptophyta; Magnoliopsida; Fagales; Fagaceae.